AUGGCGAUCCACAAAAGUCUGAUCAUAGUUAUCCUUAUGCGGGAUGGUAAUCCUCGUAUCCAGCGCAUGGGGUCUGGGGAACGGCUGGUUCGUUUUGAAGCAAGAUGGCUCCUGGAGGAAGAUUGUGACAAUAUUGUAAAGGAAGCCUGGGAGGAAGCGAGGGGUACUUGUGUGAGCCCAAAGCUUGCAGCCGUGCUGGGUAAGCUCAAUACUUGGAGCCGUGAAGUUCUGGGCGAUCUCCGGGAGCGUAUAAAGAAGCUCAAAGGAGAGUUGGAAGUGGUCAGGAGGGAGCCAAUCUCGGACUGUCAAGUAAGAAGAGAACAAACCAUCAGUUUUAAACCGGAAAGGUUAGAGGAGCAAGAGGAUUUGGUCUGGAAACAACGGGCCCAUGUGAAUUGGUUGGUGUAUGGGGAUCGGAACACUAAGUACUUCCAAGCCUACGCGUCUGAAAGGAAGAAAAAGAAUAUGAUCCACAAAUUGAAGAGGGAGGAUGGCGUGUAG
This 501-nucleotide ribosomal RNA is filed under the name Triticum aestivum (bread wheat). Its description in RNAcentral is "partial small subunit ribosomal RNA". Lineage: Eukaryota; Viridiplantae; Streptophyta; Magnoliopsida; Poales; Poaceae. The record is from RNAcentral.